UAUAACGAAAAGAACCUUCCCAUGUCUUCACAUCCUUAGACCUCUCGAGAAAGAGCGUUUUCCUUUGGGGGACAAAGUGACAGGUGGUGCAUGGUUGUCGUCAGCUCGUGUCGUGAGAUGUUGGGUUAAGUCCCGCAACGAGCGCAACCCUUAUUAUUAGUUGCCAGCAUUCAGUUGGGCACUCUAGUGAGACUGCCGGUGACAAACCGGAGGAAGGUGGGGAUGACGUCAAAUCAUCAUGCCCCUUAUGACCUGGGCUACACACGUGCUACAAUGGCAAAUACAACGAGUCGCUAACCCGCGAGGGUACGCAAAUCUCUUAAAGUUUGUCUCAGUUCGGAUUGUAGGCUGCAACUCGCCUACAUGAAGUCGGAAUCGCUAGUAAUCGCGGAUCAGCACGCCGUCGCCC
RNAcentral lists this ribosomal RNA (409 nucleotides) under uncultured Weissella sp. RNAcentral's name for it is "bacterial SSU rRNA". It matches the Rfam family "Bacterial small subunit ribosomal RNA", at positions 955 to 1363 of the family's 1533-position model. The record is from RNAcentral. Lineage: Bacteria; Bacillati; Bacillota; Bacilli; Lactobacillales; Lactobacillaceae.